CUGGGAGUGACUGUACGUGUGUGUGUGUGUGUGUGUGUGUCCCUCACCUGAUAAUCUGUGCUGGGGUUGGCGGUGUGGGAUGUUCCAGGUGGCUAAAAUUUUUGAAAUUUGACAUGAUCAAGAAGGAAGGCAGCAGUGUGAUGCGACAAAGCCCCGAAGGUCAACAAUUUGUGACUUUAUAAAUGGUGUGCAUGUAUGUAUGCAUGCAUGCUGUCUGAUGAUGAUGAUGAUGGGUGGUCCAAAAAUACGCUGACCCUUCAGAUGUGCGUGCACGAAGAGCACAUGCACACUCUAAAUCCACAGUCUGAGAUCCCAUGGCACCCAAAAUAUUGAUAGUAUAUACAUCUACUUGAGGACAACAAAGGCUUGGAUUUCACGCUUAGGUCUGCGAGCUCACCUUCAACAUUCUAAUGGUAGAAACUUCCUUCAUAUUGUCCACUGUCACAAAGCCCAGCAUCAUCGGAAGAUGUAGACGUUCACACAGGGGACUUUCUUCACUGUUUCAUGUCGGUGGCUUCCUCCAGAACGGUCAGGGUUCAGGGGUGUCCAUAGUCCGGCCGAUGGAUGUUUUAGGACAUGCAGCUUGUUCAUGACUGGUCUGCGGCAUCUUGCAAAAAGAAAAUGAACCAAAAUGUUUAUCAAAAUCAAGAUUUUUAGAAGACAUUGGAUCAUUAUAACCAAAACAACAAUGCGGAAACAUUUUGGUUUGAUUAAAUAAAGAGCACUGUGGUCAUAA
Long non-coding RNA from Nerophis ophidion (straightnose pipefish), 736 nucleotides. RefSeq lists it as uncharacterized. The record is from RefSeq and is a predicted model, not a curated record. The transcript has 3 exons. Lineage: Eukaryota; Metazoa; Chordata; Actinopteri; Syngnathiformes; Syngnathidae.